AGCAGCCGCGGUAAUUCCAGCUCCAAUAGCGUAUAUUAAAGUUGUUGCAGUUAAAAAGCUCGUAGUUGAAUUUCGGGAUUGGCGCAUCGGUCGUGCCUCACGGGGUAUGAACUGGUGCAGUCAAUUUCUCACCUUCUGGAGAACCGCGAUGUCCUUAAUUGGAUGCCGCGGGGAACCAGGACCUUUACUUUGAAAAAUUAGAGUGUUUAAAGCAGGCAUUUUUGCUUGAAUACAUUAGCAUGGAAUAAUAAAAUAGGACGGCAUGGUUCUAUUUUGUUGGUUUCUAGGACCACCGUAAUGAUUAAUAGGGAUAGUUGGGGGCAUUAGUAUUCAAUUGUCAGAGGUGAAAUUCUUGGAUUUAUUGAAGACUAACUACUGCGAAAGCAUUUGCCAAGGAUGUUUUCAUUAAUCAAGAACGAAAGUUAGGGGAUCGAAGACGAUCAGAUACCGUCGUAGUCCUAACCAUAAACUAUGCCGACUA
This 481-nucleotide ribosomal RNA is filed under the name uncultured Entrophospora. Its description in RNAcentral is "SSU rRNA". It matches the Rfam family "Eukaryotic small subunit ribosomal RNA", at positions 569 to 1048 of the family's 1831-position model. The record is from RNAcentral. Lineage: Eukaryota; Fungi; Glomeromycota; Glomeromycetes; Entrophosporales; Entrophosporaceae.